CUGUUUUCAAUGUUGUAAACAGUGGUCCUUGUCUGAUCACCGAAGUUAAGCAAUGUUGAGCCCAGUCAGUACUUGGAAGGGUGACCACCUAGGAACACCGGGGGCUGUAGGCU
Cordylochernes scorpioides is the source of this 113-nucleotide non-coding RNA. The record is from the annotation of a GenBank genome assembly. Lineage: Eukaryota; Metazoa; Arthropoda; Arachnida; Pseudoscorpiones; Chernetidae.